UACAUGGGGUGCAAACGUUGCUCGGAAUUAUUGGGCGUAAAGCGCACGUAGGCGGUUUGUUAAGUCGGAUGUGAAAUCCCUCGGCUCAACUGAGGAAGUGCAUCCGAAACUGGCAGGCUUGAGUACUAAAGAGGGUCGCGGAAUUCCCGGUGUAGAGGUGAAAUUCGUAGAUAUCCGGAGGAAGACCGGUGGCGAAGGCGGCCUGCUGGGCAGUUACUGACGCUGAUGCGCGACAGCGUGGGGAGCAAACAGG
RNAcentral lists this ribosomal RNA (253 nucleotides) under uncultured bacterium. Its description in RNAcentral is "partial 16S ribosomal RNA". It matches the Rfam family "Bacterial small subunit ribosomal RNA", at positions 524 to 776 of the family's 1533-position model. The record is from RNAcentral.